This 203-nucleotide ribosomal RNA is filed under the name uncultured bacterium. Its description in RNAcentral is "partial 16S ribosomal RNA". It matches the Rfam family "Bacterial small subunit ribosomal RNA", at positions 1298 to 1500 of the family's 1533-position model. The record is from RNAcentral.
UUGCAGCCUGCAACUCGGCUGCAUGAAGCUGGAAUCGCUAGUAAUCGCGGAUCAGCAUGCCGCGGUGAAUACGUUCCCGGGCCUUGUACACACCGCCCGCCACACCAUGAGAGUCGGGAACACCCGAAGUCCGUAGUCUGACCGCGAAGGGGACGCGGCCGAAGGUGGGUUCGAUAAUUGGGGUGAAGUCGUAACAAGGUACC